Molecule: long non-coding RNA, 6456 nt
Organism: Esox lucius (northern pike)
Lineage: Eukaryota; Metazoa; Chordata; Actinopteri; Esociformes; Esocidae
Gene: specc1
Product: sperm antigen with calponin homology and coiled-coil domains 1
Exons: 15
Source: RefSeq, a predicted model, not a curated record
AGCGCGGCACAGCCACACAGCCAGCCCAGCAGCACAAGGGCAAGCAGGCGGCUUCUGGGUCCUGAUCUUCGGAGGCAGCCGCAUUGAAAUGCUCUUGGCCUUGAUACUUCUUCCCAGUGCGUCCCUGAUCCAGAGGUCUGGCUGCUGUGUUGCUCUUCAGUUGUUGUGCUUUGUGUGUUGUCGGUCCAGCUUGCCUCAGGCCGGAGUCAGUGUUUCUGAAGUGGGAGGGAGCCUGCUGUUUACAGGGCAGUGACAGCGUCUGAGAAGGAGUCCUUUUACAUUCUGUGAUUGAGGCUGCUCAAGACCAGUGUUUUUCCCCCCCUGCUGUAAAUAUAGCAGACAGAGCCAUGCUGAAAGGGGGCACCUCCAAAGUGGGGCUGCCCAAGCCUGGGCUUCAAGAAAGGGCCAAGCAAGCCUCGCUUGCCCCUUCUACCACCUCAUCCAUCACAGCGACAGGUAUAAAGACCUCCAGAUCCUCCAAUACCCUGGCCACAGAUCUGCGCCUCAGCAGGCUGAAGAGAGCCAGUAGUGAUGAUGCCCUGACCAAACCUUCCAUGGGGCCAGCAGCCUCAGUCUCCCGCAUGAAGAAGACUGUCACUGCCGGGGCCAUCUCUGACCUGGCGGACCCAAGACCUCGCAGCCUCUCGGGUGUCCAGUCAGGUUCCAAGAAGUCCGGUAUCCCUGCCCCCAGGGAGAUCCCUCCCGCCAUGAGCAGAGACCGCGUGUCACUGAGGGACCAGCUAAAGACCUCCACAACCAAGAAAAUGGUUGCCUGUGCCAGCACCUCUAGCUUGGCCACCCUGGCAGCCAAGCAUCAGCGAGGCUCCACCGCCACCGCAAAGCCCAGGGUGGAUGCUGAGAGCUCGGAUAGAGGCUUUCUGGAGGGCCAGGUUAAGGAGUUGCUGGCUGAGGCCAAAGCCAAGGAGUUAGAGAUCAGCAAGCUGAGGAUGGAGCUGCAGCGCUGUCGAGGGAAAGUCUUGUCCCCCUCACCCCACAACACCCCUUCUACCUCACCCGAGGGUGCGCUUGAGCAUGGCCAAGGCCCACCCCAGCAGGCAACUGACGCCCAGGCCCUGGUGGGGGAGCUGAGGGAGAAGAACAGGAAGUUCCAGAGGGAGCUAGCAGCUCUGAGAGAGGAGAACCAGGACCUGAAAGAGAAGCUUCUCUCCCUUGAGGCUUUGCCUGUCUCUCCUCUUUCCAGCAACACUACCGCCACAACCACCACCAGCCCAUCCAAGCCUUUUGUCAACGGCCUCCCCUCAGACAACAACACCAGUUCCCCAGCCAAGUCGCUCACGCCUAGCCCGCUCAAAACCUCCGCAUCCUCUGGCAGUGACAUCACCAAGGGCUCUCCCUCGCCUGACUCCUCAGAGUUUGAGAAGCUCCCAUCCCGGUCUGACUCCAUUGGCAGCGGUGGCAAAGGGGUGGGGAAGGGUCUGGGUCGCGAAGCCUCGGUGGAGAGCCUGACGGAGCAGAUCCAGAAGAUGGAGGAGAGUCACCACAGCACGUCCGAGGAGCUGCAGGCUACACUACAAGAGCUGGCCGACCAGCAGCAGGUGGUCCAGGAGCUGACGGCUGAGAACGAGCGCCUAGCCGAGGAGAAGGGCCUCCUGCAGGCAUCGCUGCAACAGCAGAGGGAGAGGGUGGAGCUGCUGGCCCAGAAGAACGAGACACUGGCCGGGAGGCUGCAGGAGCAGGCCCAGGCCCACAGCGGGAACGAGGGCCGGGCGGCCGACCUGGAGCAGCGCUACGCUGACCUGGUGGAGAGCUCUCGCUUCGAGAGGGAGAAGCUGGUGGGUAUCCAGCAGCAACUGACGGGAAGCCUCAGGGCCCUUGAGCAAGAGCACCAGGAGGCCCAGGGACUGGUGAGGUCCCUCACGGAGGAGAGGGACGGCCUACAGGGACGACUGGACCGAGAGGCAAAGGCCAGGGGGGAGACGUCACGGGCGGCUGAGGAACAUAGGGCUGCAGCGGACGCCCUGAGGUUGGAAAAUGGACGGCUGAAGGCCCAGGUGGACACUGAGAGACAGAAGGUUGGGGAGCUGAAGGCCAUGCAGAGUGCUGGGGACAGCACAGAGCUGCAACAGCUGCUGAAAGCAGCCCACACUGAGAGAGACAGACUGGAGGGGGAGGUAACGGAGCUACGGCACGAGCUGCUACAAGCCCUGACUAACACUGAAAAUGCCCAAGGACUGCUGUCCAAGGUGGAGGCUGAGUGCCAGCAGUUGGCAGAACGAGCUGAAAGGCGGGAGAAGGAGCUGAUUGGACGGAUCAGUGCCCUGGAGGAAGUGGCGCAGCAGGCCGACACCCAGAUCAAGGACCUGAAGGAGACCAUCUUUGAGCUGGAGGACCAGGUGGAGCAGCAGAGGGCUGUCCACCUCCACACCAACCAGACAAUCCUGGACCUAGAGAACCAACUCAAGAAGCUGGAAGAGCAGAAAGCUGAGGUGGAGAGGCAACGGAAGAUUCUGAGUAAACAGAUGAAGGAUGAAACCGAGGAGUGGCGUCGGUUCCAGGCAGACCUCCAGACAGCCGUGGUGGUGGCCAACGACAUCAAGGUAGAAGCCCAGCAGGAGAUCCGCUCUCUAAGGAGAAGAUUGCAGGAGGAGCAGGGCCGCAGUGCCAAGCUCUCGUCAGACCUGGAGCAGCUGCAGGGAGUCAGGUCGUUGCAUGGUGACUCAGAGGGCUUUUCGGAUGCUGGUGGCAGUCCUCACUGGUGCGGCAUCUCCAUGACCCAGGCUCCUUCCUCAUCCAUCGACACCAGCAGCAACACUGCCGCUGCCGAGUCCGGAGCCACCGUCAAAUCCCUCAUCAAGUCCUUUGACACACCCGCACCAAAUGGACCUGGGCCAGGACAUAAGGUACAGAUGCACCCUUCAUCUAGAAGUCCUCUGAGUGGGAUACCUAUUCGCACAGCUCCUGCGGCGGCGGUCUCCCCCAUCCAGCGGCAUUCAUCUAUCAAACCGCUUUCAAAGACCCUGGAGAAAAGGAUCAACCAUGGAGAUUUCUGUCAUCCAGAUAAGUAUGGAGGCUCUGGGGAUGAGCUGAAGCCCAACAGCCUUAUGAGAAAGAGUCCUUCCCUGGAGUCUGUAAUUAAGUCCCCAGCAACCAUCAGCAGCCGGAGCCACUCUGUGGCCUACAGCAGGAACAACAGCAAGCUCAGUGUGGAAAGAACGGACCCUUUGGCUGCACUGGCGCGGGAGUAUGGGGGUUCUAAAAGGAACGCUCUACUGAAGUGGUGCCAGAAGAAAACAGAAGGCUAUCCGAACAUCGAUGUGACCAACUUCAGCAGCAGUUGGAGUGAUGGCCUGGCGUUCUGUGCUCUUCUACACACAUACCUGCCUGCACACAUCCCUUACCAGGAACUCAUCAGUCAAGACAAGGGCCGGAAUCUGUCCCUGGCGUUUCAGGCUGCAGAAAGCAUUGGCAUCCAACCCUCCCUGCCCCGUCAAAGCUCUUCUCCAUCCUGUCGCCUCGGCGGUGGAAAAAGCCUCCCCUUGAAGCUCGGACAGCAGAGUCCCUGGUCAUUCUUCUGAAAACCUACCUUUUUAAAAAUGUAUCUGAAAUAACUCCAAAAUGUCCCACCACAUGCUUUUCUUUCUUGCAAUUUAUUCAUGGUUCAUGAAAUAAUUUUUUCUCUCCCUUCUGACACUGACUUAACUGAUAGCUACUUUGACUAAGGUUUACUUGGUAUUGGAUUGGACUAUUUUUACAGUCCUGUAUUGGUUCCCAAACUUUUGUUUUACUAUAACCCUUUUAAUCAUGUAAAUUCAUACUCAUCGUUUUCAUUUUAUGUAAUAUAUGAGUGCCAUGCCAACGCAACUAUUUUUGCUUGACACACACAGGAACCUUGCUUACCCAAUGAGAACGUUAUUCCAUUAGGAACAAAUUGGGGCAUGUUCUUGGCUUAUUAUCGGUGUCAAGGAUUGGUUCUCAACUUCGGAACCCACCCAACACAACAUCCCCACGUGGUUUCACAUCCCCAUCAUCUUAACCCUUCAGCCCACUCAUUGAGUCCAGAUGCCCCCCCCCUCUCUCUCUCGCUCCCUGGAUCAGAAUGUUAAUGACAAAGACAAACCACCCAUGUAACGUGUGCUGCUCAAAGCAUUCAACACUGUUGACACGGGCACCAGCACACAAUCAGAGACAAGCACACACAGUAACCACUAAUGUAGAAAACCUGAACAGACAUGCAGUAUCAUUUAAGGUCAAAGUCUCUUUUGAGGUCAAAUGAAUUCGGUCUAGGGGUAUCUAUCUAUUUUUAAUUACUGCUUUGACAGCUUUUUAUUUGAUUUGGCAUUACCUUCUGUUAUUAGAUUUGCUUCAAUGACUCACAUACAGGUCAUACAACAUACAGUGUAGAUCAAACAACUGCAUUUUGCUUGUUCUCUGUCUGUCUGUUUGUUUGUGCAUACAUGGGCCUGGGCAUCUGCGUGUGAAUCAGGAAAUUAUACAUUGCAGUUUUGACUUGGCCUGACUCCAAACCUGUGGCCAUUCUUAAACCUUAACUUUAAGGUAUCUAUGAAGAACUACUGAAUUCACAUAGCAAGCUGUCCUAUAUUCUCCCCCCCUCGUUUACACUACAGUUGGGGAAGGUAAAUAUUUCCUUCAAACAUGCAUUCUGAUGUCAAACAAGCCUGGCAUACCAAGCAUCACAUGCAUUUGUGAAUACUACAGAACAGCACGGGUCAUAAUUAUUUAGCAUAAGAUUAUUACCCUAAGGUUGUUAAUCUGGAUCCAAGCCAUGCAAACCUUUGUCCUUUAUUCACAUCUUCUGAAUUGAUGAUGUCUGUGGACAGUAAACAGUGUGAGAGCAACAAACUUGUUUUGACUCAAUAUUACCCCUCAGGGUCAUGUUUUUGCACACACAAAUAGAUUGGAUUAGAUAGAGGGAUUAAUCUGCUAUACCUCAAAUUCCAUUUCCAAUAAAAAUCCUCAGGCCAGCCAUAAUUUAUCUUUAUUCAUCUGAAUAUAUUUGAUAAUCUAGAGAGGAAAAAGCUAAAUUAUUAUAUAAAUGCAAUAUUAACUGUGUGAUAAAUGAAUAACAAAAUGAAAACUUCCUGGUUGAGCAAGCCAUCUGGUAACAAGCAGAAUAGCUUAGCGAGACUGCAGUUUUGCUAGUUAUGUAUGUCUCGAUCUUCAACUCUCCUGAACCCACACUGUAGGAAUAAGACCACAAUGCUGAAGAUUUUUUUUUUUAAAUGCGCACAUGUGUCUUACAUUUACCCCUCAGCUACAUUGCAGUCCAUAAGUGUUUGGACCAUGACACACAUUUUGUUGUUUUGGCUCUGUUCUCAGUAUAUUGUAUUUGAAAUGAUGCAAGGACGAUUGGUUAAAUUUGAUGGUAUUUUCAUCCACAUCAGAUAAACCAUUUUGAGCAAACAGGACAUUUUGUAUAUUUGUCAUGUUAUUUAAGGGUAUCAAAACUAUUUUGACAAUUGGCUUCAUAGCUGUUUCUUGCUAGGCAUUUCUAUUUGUAUAAACAUCAUUAGUGCAUGUACUAGAGUGUUGCCAAUGUCUAGUCUUGAUUUUAUUUGCAUGCAAAAUCGAUUGCUUGUUGACAAGACAAGGACCAAAGAUAUGUCAAUGGAACUCAACCUGGCCAUUAUGAAGCAGACAAAUCCAAAUAAAUCGAUCAAAGACAAAUACAGCAUUAAGAGUGCCAAAAUCAAUUGUUUGGUACAUUAAGAAGAAGAAAGAAAAUCACUGGUUAGUUAAGCAAUGGCAAAUGACCUGCUCGACCAAAUAAGACUUUUGCAGUGGACAGAAGUGAAACUGGAACACUCUCCAGGAGAUAGGAGUGUAUGUGUUAGGCACUACCAUGCACCAGUCAAACUCAAGAGGCUGGACUGCAAGGUGCAAAAACAUUAGUUACUGUAGCCUCAAAAACAGGAAUUGUCUUAAAAUACCAAAUACAGACUGCAGAGUUCUGGAAAAAAUAUAUAUUGUGGACAGAUGAGACAAAUAUUAGGUGCAGGGGGGUGUUAUAAUUUGGGCAUCUAAGGCCAAGUCAAUCACCCAACACAAAUGAAUUAAUUCAGUUAAGCAUGCGGUUUACUUGCAUGCGGAACACAAAAAGGCCACUAAACAUACUGGAAAUGGCUGCAGUUUAGGCCUGGCAGGGCAUCACCAGAGAAGAUUCCUAGCAUAUGCAAUGUCUGUCUGUUGCAGACUUCAGGCAGUGAUUGAAUGCAAAGGAUUUGCAACCAUUUACUAAAUAUGACAACUUUGUUUAAGAUUAUAUUAAUAUGUCUAUGUAUAACAGGUUCUGUAGGUCCUAAAGGGUUCAUGGUCUAUGGAUGUAAAACCCUCAAAUUAAAGCUGACAGUCUGCACUUCAACCUCUUUGACUUCUCAAGUCCAAUGUGCUGGAAUACAGAGCCAAAAUAUCUAAAAUGUCUGUCACUGUCCAAAUACUUAUGGUCUGCACUGUGUAUUAAAUUGACUUAAUCAUGUU